AGAAUCUCCAAGACUAGCAGUAUAGGAGCAGAAUGGCUCAGUGCACAGGGUCCUCUUAUAGUAGGUAUUCAGGCACAGAAUUAUGCACAGCUUUGUUGACCCAAGAAGUUCAAUCUAAAAGACCUAAAAGAAUAUAGACUACAUGUAAUGUUCUUCAGGAAAUGAAGUAGAACUUAAGAUUUCUUGUAAUCUCUUCGAACUCUGAUUAUGUUGAUAUUCAUGGAUGGGUGGAUUGCUCCCUUCUACGAAAAUCAUAUCAAGAACUAGAUUUAUGAUGAGAGAUAUAAAAUGAAAACCAGUUCAAUGGCAUAAAAUGUUCAGAGCAAAGCCGGAGUAUUGGGGGAAGUCUACCAUAACAUCACAGAAUAAUGUACUAAAACCUCUCAUCCAUAAUGUUCACUGAUAGGAGAGCGAGGUCCACUGUUAGCAGUGCCUGGUGUGUCGAGUGAAUGAGCACCGACUGUCACUGAAGCCUCUUUCUGCACCUUGGCUCCAGGAAAACCUUUGGGCACCUAUAUAUGAUGUGAUAUCUCAGUACCCUGACUCU
Pelobates cultripes (western spadefoot toad) is the source of this 547-nucleotide non-coding RNA. The record is from the annotation of a GenBank genome assembly. NCBI's taxonomy places the organism in Eukaryota, Metazoa, Chordata, Amphibia, Anura, Pelobatidae.